Molecule: non-coding RNA, 604 nt
Filed under: Pongo abelii (Sumatran orangutan)
Lineage: Eukaryota; Metazoa; Chordata; Mammalia; Primates; Hominidae
Source: RNAcentral
GGACAGCCCACCAGGGUCUGCUUCUGUGAGGGGCCGAGGCGUCAUUCCGCGAAGCCUUCUCCUUGCUGUCGCCAUGUGAAGAAGGAUGUGUUUGCUUCCCCUUCUGCCAUGAUUGUAAGUUUCCUGAAGCCUCUCCAGCCAUGCCAAACUCAUUUUGCACAGAGCUUGGCAGUUACAUAGUAGAUGUUGAACAAUUUCUUCUGUGUUUCAGUUGUCAAACUCUGUUCUGAAUGUAUGAGGCUCUUCAUUCGAUGGACAAAAACCACAAGAUUAUCUAAAUAGAUGCAGAAAAGGCCUUCGAUAAAAAUCCUCAUUCCUUCAUGUUAAAAACUCUCAAUAAACUAGGUAUUGAUGGAACAUACCUCAAAAUAAUUAGAGCCAUUUAUGACAAACUCACAGCCAGUGUCCUCACUGAAUGGGCAAAAGCUGAAAGCAUUCUCCUUGAAAACCAGCACAGGACAAGUUUGCCCUCUCUCCCAACCCCUAUUCAAUAUAGUAUUGGAAGUUAUGGCCAUGGCAAUUGGGCAAGAGAAAAAAAUGAAGAGUAUUUAAAUGGGAAAAGAGGAAGUCAAACUAUCUUUUUUUGCAGAUGACAUAAUCCUAU